GACGAACGCUGGCGGCGUGCUUAACACAUGCAAGUCGAACGGAAAGGCCCUGCUUUUGUGGGGUGCUCGAGUGGCGAACGGGUGAGUAACACGUGAGUAACCUGCCCUUGACUUUGGGAUAACUUCAGGAAACUGGGGCUAAUACCGGAUAGGAGCUCCUGCUGCAUGGUGGGGGUUGGAAAGUUUCGGCGGUUGGGGAUGGACUCGCGGCUUAUCAGCUUGUUGGUGGGGUAGUGGCUUACCAAGGCUUUGACGGGUAGCCGGCCUGAGAGGGUGACCGGCCACAUUGGGAAUGAGAUACGGCCCAGACUCCUACGGGAGGCAACAGUGGGGAAUAUUGCACAAUGGGCGGAAGCCUGAUGCAGCAACGCCGCGUGCGGGAUGACGGCCUUCGGGUUGUAAACCGCUUUCGCCUGUGACGAAGCGUGAGUGACGGUAAUGGGUAAAGAAGCACCGGCUAACUACGU
Molecule: ribosomal RNA, 467 nt
Filed under: uncultured bacterium
Lineage: Bacteria
Description: partial 16S ribosomal RNA
Rfam family: Bacterial small subunit ribosomal RNA
Source: RNAcentral